This 253-nucleotide ribosomal RNA is filed under the name uncultured bacterium. RNAcentral describes it as "partial 16S ribosomal RNA". It matches the Rfam family "Bacterial small subunit ribosomal RNA", at positions 524 to 776 of the family's 1533-position model. The record is from RNAcentral.
GACGAACCGUGCGAACGUUAUUCGGAAUCACUGGGCUUAAAGGGCGCGUAGGCGGGCCACCAAGUCAGGGGUGAAAUCCCACGGCUCAACCGUGGAAGUGCCUUUGAUACUGGUGGCCUCGAGGGAGGCAGGGGCGUGCGGAACUUUGGGUGGAGCGGUGAAAUGCGUAGAUAUCCAAAGGAACACCGGUGGCGAAAGCGGCGCGCUGGACCUCUUCUGACGCUGAGGCGCGAAAGCCAGGGGAGCAAACGGG